Molecule: ribosomal RNA, 484 nt
Filed under: uncultured bacterium
Lineage: Bacteria
Description: partial 16S ribosomal RNA
Rfam family: Bacterial small subunit ribosomal RNA
Source: RNAcentral
AUUGAACGCUGGCGGCAUGCUUUACACAUGCAAGUCGAACGGCAGCGCGGGCUUCGGCCUGGCGGCGAGUGGCGAACGGGUGAGUAAUGCAUCGGAACGUGCCCAGUAGUGGGGGAUAGCCCGGCGAAAGCCGGAUUAAUACCGCAUACGACCUGAGGGUGAAAGCGGGGGACCGAAAGGCCUCGCGCUAUUGGAGCGGCCGAUGUCUGAUUAGCUAGUUGGUGGGGUAAAGGCUUACCAAGGCGACGAUCCGUAGCUGGUCUGAGAGGACGACCAGCCACACGGGGACUGAGACAAGGCCCAGACUCCUACGGGAGGCAGCAGUGGGGAAUUUUGGACAAUGGGGGCAACCCUGAUCCAGACAUGCCGCGUGCGGGAAGAAGGCCUUCGGGUUGUAAACCGCUUUUGUUCGGGAAGAAAUCCUCUGGGCUAAUACCCCGGGGGGAUGACGGUACCGGAAGAAUAAGCACCGGCUAACUACGUG